GAUCAUGGCUCAGGAUGAACGCUAGCUACAGGCUUAACACAUGCAAGUCGAGGGGAAACGACAUCGAAAGCUUGCUUUUGAUGGGCGUCGACCGGCGCACGGGUGAGUAACACGUGAGUAACCUGCCCUUGACUUUGGGAUAACUUCAGGAAACUGGGGCUAAUACCGGAUAGGAGCUCCUGCUGCAUGGUGGGGGUUGGAAAGUUUCGGCGGUUGGGGAUGGACUCGCGGCUUAUCAGCUUGUUGGUGGGG
Molecule: ribosomal RNA, 252 nt
Filed under: uncultured bacterium
Lineage: Bacteria
Description: partial 16S ribosomal RNA
Rfam family: Bacterial small subunit ribosomal RNA
Source: RNAcentral